Artibeus jamaicensis (Jamaican fruit-eating bat) is the source of this 5094-nucleotide long non-coding RNA. RefSeq lists it as uncharacterized. The record is from RefSeq and is a predicted model, not a curated record. Lineage: Eukaryota; Metazoa; Chordata; Mammalia; Chiroptera; Phyllostomidae. The transcript has 6 exons.
CAAACCCAUGAGUGUGCUGGCCAUGAACUGCGUCACUUCAGGCUCGGGUCCCCAUGGAGCCCUGCUUUUGUGCCCACGGCUCUGUGCCCCACACUCAGGCCACAGGGGCGACACCUCCAUCUCUCUGGUUCCCCCCACAGACCCUGACGCCCAUCCACCCAGGGAGCCCUCACCGAGCGCCUCCUCUGCCAGGCAGGGGUGAUGGAGGACACAGGCCUGCCCUCGGGGGGCUGGGGGCCACGCCGAGGGUGGGAGCCCACGGGAGCGGGGCAGGGAGUCCCCAGGAGGGUUUCCCAGACAGGGACGUGUGGGGGUGACAGGGGCAUUCCUCACGGUGCCAGCAUGUCCAGAGGCUCAGAGGCGCCCAGCUCACAGCCACGGGCAUCACAGGAGCCUGGGGGACGGGUGAGGAGCUGGGGGAGACGGUGAGGCUCAGUCCUCAGGUGGGCUGAGGCCUGUCACGAGUGAGUGACACCUGGACGCUCUGACCGUGAGCUGAUGCCCUGGCACUGGGGUUUGAAUACAGGUCCCUCACAGGGGUUCCACUUGGAUGCAGGGGUGUAUGCGGGGCCAGGGCAGACCCCGAGGCCACCCACAGAGGGGACUAGUCUGAGAGUGAACCAGCUGGUCCAGAGACAGGACAGGUGCCCAUGCCGGAGCUGUGUGAGGGGCUCGGGCAAAGUGGACAGACUGGGGAGCAGACGGCGGACCUGGGAGCCCGUCCCAGCUCGGCUGAGGCAGCCUGAAGGUGCCCGGUGGGGGCUGGAGGGCCUGGGGCGAACGGGAAGCUUGGCCGGAGCUGGAGCCCCAGGCUGAGGUUCUUGUUCGUUCUGCACAACCAGGUGCGGUGGGCAACUUCCGGCAGUACCUGGGGCAUUAGGGGGCUGACUCAGCCAGGCCUCCGCCCGCCCCUCAUCUAGGCACAGGGUACAUCAUGGUGCAGAGUCAGGGGAGCUGGCGGGGUGAAGGUCGGGAGUCACCCGUCUGCCCCGGGUUGGAACAGCGGGCCAUGGGAGGGGAGACUGACCUCCCCAACUGCAGCCGGGGCCUUGUGGUGUCCACCUUCCAUCGCUCCCUGACUGCUGGAAUCUGCGUUUCCUUCUUUCCCACCUAAGCUCAGGGUCCACCGUCUUUGUGCGAUGUGGCCCGGUGGUUCUGAGCACAGCGGUGGGGUGAGGGGGUGCAGGGCCACGAUGACCUGCUGGUGGGGGGUGGACAGUGGGCGAGGGGCACUGCGGGGACUGAGAGCUAGCCUCCCAAACUUUCACGAACCCUGGAAUGCUGUUAAAGGGCGGAUUCUGGCUCAGGAGUUCUGGGAUUCUGCGUUUCUAAUGAGCGGCUGAUGUGUGGACCACACGGGUGAUAGUGAAACCCCAGGAAGCUCCCCUUAGUACCUGCUGCCUGGCGAGCUCCCAUCGGGGCACUCAGAGGGGAGGGGCUCCUUGGCCUGGAGCCAGGAGCCACACUGUAUGACCUACCAGGGACCCUGUGCCCCCAGGGCCUUGGGCCGGUGAUGCUGAAGGCUUAGUCAGUGUGUUUGUUGGCACAGAAACUAGGGAUCUGCCCACAAAUGAUCUCACUCUGUCCUUGCUGCUCUGAGGGUUAGAGAAGAAAAGCCCGUGAGAAGGGGAGGCCAAGAGCGGUUGGUGGAUUCUCCCCGGGUUGUGGUUUUAGUUGGCAGAGACAGGAUCAGAACCCCGCUCUGAACAGGGGACCUUCCCGUUCCGCCAGCAUCACUGAUCUUAGGUUUGGAGGCUGGCACGGCAGUGGCUGGGAGUUGUCUCCUGUCCUGUCAUCUGCCCCCUGAUCCUGAGGAGCCCGGGGUUGCAGGCUGGGGGGGGUGGUGGUGAGGAAGGUCACCUCUGCCUUCAGCCGCUCGAUCUCGACCUCCCCGUCCUCGAUCUGCUGCCGCAGCUGCUUGGCCACCGUCUUCUCCGUCUCCACGAUCUGCAGCAGGUGCAGGUACUUCUGCAUCAGCGCCUCGUGCUCGGUGGCCAGGGUCCGGUAGCUGUGGACGGGUGGAUGUGGCAGGUGAGGCACGGCCCGUUUAGCCCGAGGGACCCAGUCUGAGUGGGGCUCACGACCCAGCGCCCUCGGGAGAGGACCCCAACUCCCAGACACAGUGUGUGUCUGACGACCUGGUCUCUGUAGCUAAUUUGGACAGAUAGUCCUUGAAGACAGGGAUGGAGACAGCCUGACCUCAAGGCUAAGGUCAGGGCCGUGGCCAUCAUAAAGGGCUUCUGGUGAGCAAAGGUCAAGAAAGGGCCGUAGAAUCCAUCUGUCUGUCAAUCCUUCCUUCCUUCCUUCCUUCCUUCCUUCCUUCCUUCCUUCCUUCCUUCCUUCCUUCCUUCCUUCCUUCCUUCCUUCCUUUUGACACCCUCUCCUCAAUCAUUUAUCCACCCUCCAUUCAUCUUCCUUACAGCAUGCGUCCUUGCGUCCAUCCUCAGUCCGUGCAUCUAUCCUCACAUUCUUCUGCCCAGCCCCCCUUUGCUGAGCAGCAGGCCCUGGGAAUGCCAAAAUUGCACUGGUCCCCACCCCACAUUCUGCAGGAAGACAGACACAGAAACAGCAAUAUCCACUGAGCCAGGAAGAGCUACCACUCAUCCAGCUCCAAGGCCUUCUGGUUCUCCUGGCUGAAGUUGACCGUGAAGUAAUGCUGCACAGAGAGGAAAUCUCCGAUUACCGGGGUCGUCCCCAGAAGCCGCAGCGCCUGACAGUCCGGCUGUUUGCAAGACGCGUGCAGCCGCGUCCGCUGGGCACCGGUGCCUUCGCCGUGAUGGUCUGAGCGCUGAGCUACUUAGUGCGCUCAGAGUCCUGAUUGAGGCGGGCUCUGUGUGGUGAAGCAGAACCUAUACUUAGGGUAUUGCGAGAGCCCACAACGCCCCAGUCACCAACAAAUUGCAAAACCAGCCAGUUUUCUGCCACCACGUGCGCUGCGGGGAAAACACGAGGAGAACCUCCCGAGGAAACAGAUAACUGGGGCCAGGGAAGGAAAUGUCAGCCGCAGACUCAAAUAACUGAAUCCGCGAGGCUCCGGUGGGCACCCCUCCGCCUCAGGACGGAAGCAGGCGGAGGGGGCGCCACAGGUGGGUGCCUAGAGCUUCCCCCUCUCCAGAGACGAUGGGCUCAUGCGUGUGUGUCUCCCAGGACCUGUUUAUUCCCACAUUCCCCAGCGAGAACAGGUAUUAGCACCUGUUUUCCAGUGGAUGAACCUGAGGCUCAGAGACAUUGAGCCACCUGCUGAAGGCCACACAGCAGGAAGGCAGAGGAGUCGGGACAACAAGGCUUCACUGAGCACCAACCGUGGGGUUUGGCCCUGGACUUGGCACUGGGGUGUGAAGCGAUCCCCCCAAAGGACAUACUGCCAUGUCACAGCGGCUGGGCUUACUGACUAACAGCAAAAGCCACAAGCAGGCAGAGAAUGCCGCCCACUUCACAGGGUUGCGUAAAACAGAGGGUGUUGCGGGAGCCCCUCGGUGGCAGAAUGCUCAGGGAUGGUCUGCGGACCCGAGGGGUCGUCUGCACGGUCCAGGUGCUGGCUGGACUCGGCCUGCCCAGGGAAGCAUGCUUGCGUGUGCAUUCACAUGCAUGUACACAGCGUUCCCUAAAAUCCACAUGUACCUGGCACCUGUGAGUGUUUGCAAACCGGAUCUUUGCAGACGGAUGCAAGUCAAGAUAAGGUCACAGUGGGAGACGUGACAUGCAAGCAGGGAGGCAGGUGUGGGACAACUGCGUCUGUGGGUCACGUGACGCCUAGGGCGGCCCGCAAUCGUCAGCGCGGGAAGAAGCAGGAAAGACUAUCCUGCAGAGCCUUCGGGCCCCCAGAACUGAUCCCAGGGAGGCCACGCUGUCCUCCAGCCCUUGCGGGAAGAGGUCUCAUCCUGACCCAGGCCAGGCCACCCCUGGUGUGUCUUCUAACCUCUGUCACCACUUCCACAGCAGAGUGUAUGCUCCUCAGCCAUGGCUCCUCCCGACCCGGCUGCGCCACCCUCAUGCCUGGCGCAGAGCAGGGCCUCCCUGGGUACAGUGUUUCCCAGUCGGGCCUGCUCGAUGGACAUGCUGGUCUCUGCUGGCCCCACUGGUGCUUCUGUACCAAUCCAGAGAGGCCCGGACUGCCCGCACCCCCACAACAGCCCUCACCUGAUGUGGCUACACAGGACGCUGCACCCCACUUAACAGCCCUCUGCCCCCACUACAAGUGGCCUCAUUCCGGCUCAAUCUGUGCCUCUGAGUUCUCAAGUCAGCGACUCCCCAGGACUCUCUCUGAAAGCUGAGUGCCUGCCUCAGGCCCCUGUCCCCCUGUCAGUCUCCCCUGCUCUGUCUGGUCACCCUGCUCAGGCCUGAGUCCUGCCUCCGGGAGCGCCCUGCUGCACACCUUACACUCCCGCGUGCAGCCAAAGGGGUGUGAGCAGUGAUGUAAGGUCAGAACGGAAAAGCCUGGGAAGAGGCCCUGCACAGGGCUCAACCCACAGCCCAGGGCCUGUGUCUGCGCGGCGCUCCAAACUGCUGACCCAUCCUGGCUUUCGUGGGAGCUCCCCCAGACCACAGACGUCACAUGGGUUGGUCCGGCAUGCACCUUGUUCCAUCUGUCCUCACAAUGCACCAGCCUGCCCCUGACCUUCCCACCAGCCACCUCUCUGAUGUUUGCUGGAUGAACUUGUCCAAUACAUCUGCCCUUCAGCUUCUCUUUGUAAAAACAAAAAAGUCGUUUAUUUGCUUUUCUAUAACUAAUUAUAAAAGGCUUUUAAGGUCUGAGUUGGAUUUUCCAAUCUGGAAAACCUAAGAACUCAACUAGAAGUAUCUUUUUGAAAAUAAUUAUCUCACUUUUCAGAGGAAACAGGUGUCAUUUGCUUUGUCGAAUUAGUAAGAUCUAGUCUUUAAUGUAUUAACUUUCCGAAUGUAACGGUUGGCCUGGAUGUCCACUCACUUUAAUGACCCCAAACUGGAGGCCUGGCUCAAGUUCUGACCCUGGCAUUGACUCGCAGUGAGAACUUGGGGCCUGGAAGAGACAGUCACUACUUAUCUGUUCAGAGAUGAGCUCCAUCCAGCUGAGCCUCAUGUGCCAGAUGAGAAGCCUGGCUCCCCAGGUCCCAU